RNAcentral lists this non-coding RNA (183 nucleotides) under Desulfobulbaceae bacterium. RNAcentral describes it as "6S RNA". It matches the Rfam family "6S / SsrS RNA". Rfam says of the family: E. coli 6S RNA was the first non coding RNA to be sequenced, but its function was unknown until recently. The record is from RNAcentral. Lineage: Bacteria; Pseudomonadati; Thermodesulfobacteriota; Desulfobulbia; Desulfobulbales; Desulfobulbaceae.
UAUCCCCUGCCUUGCAGGUAAUUCGGCAAUAUUUUUUUGAGCCAACAUCGACAUUAAGGGUGACUUUGAUGCUUACGGAAAGGAAUCAGCACCUUGCUGAAUUCCUUGAUUGGAGUAAAAGUAACGCCCACCUAACCCGUUAGGUUCAAUGUCAUUGUCGGAGACGGUAUAGGCGGGGGGUAU